RNAcentral lists this ribosomal RNA (433 nucleotides) under uncultured bacterium. Its description in RNAcentral is "partial 16S ribosomal RNA". It matches the Rfam family "Bacterial small subunit ribosomal RNA", at positions 29 to 507 of the family's 1533-position model. The record is from RNAcentral.
AACGAACGCUGGCGGCAUGCCUAACACAUGCAAGUCGAACGAGACCUUCGGGUCUAGUGGCGCACGGGUGCGUAACGCGUGGGAACCUGCCCUUAGGUUCGGCAUAACUCCCCGAAAGGGGUGCUAAUACCGGAUAAUGUCUUCGGACCAAAGAUUUAUCGCCUUUGGAUGGGCCCGCGUUGGAUUAGCUAGUUGGUAGGGUAAAAGCCUACCAAGGCGACGAUCCAUAGCUGGUCUGAGAGGAUGAUCAGCCACACUGGGACUGAGACACGGCCCAGACUCCUACGGGAGGCAGCAGUGGUGAAUAUUGGACGAUGGGCGAAAGCCUGAUCCAGCAAUGCCGCGUGAGUGAUGAAGGCCUUAGGGUUGUAAAGCUCUUUUACCCGGGAUGAUAAUGACAGUACCGGGAGAAUAAGCACCGGCUAACUCCGUG